Molecule: long non-coding RNA, 2436 nt
Organism: Myxocyprinus asiaticus (Chinese sucker)
Lineage: Eukaryota; Metazoa; Chordata; Actinopteri; Cypriniformes; Catostomidae
Exons: 5
Source: RefSeq, a predicted model, not a curated record
GAGGGGGAAAAAAACAAUAGGCUUAACUAUUGCAAUUUGUGCUUCACUGAAACUUUGAAUUGUUGUACCCAUUAAUAAUUAUAUAAUAUUUUGUACUGUAGAUGAUAGUCAGUAAUGAGGAAGUAAACAUCAACAGCUCUAGACAGUAACUAUCAAGAAGAUUCCAAUUCUGAGUCAAACUCCACUGGACAGAAGCAGCUGGACAACAUUUUUAAGUGAUUUCAGAAGCUUGAGCACAAAAUCAUCUCUCUGAUGAAGAAAGAGCUGAAGAGCUUCAAGAGACUACUGAGCCCAGAUUCCCCAGCAUGCUCUGAGAGAGAGGAGGAGGAUGAUGAAGGUCAGAGAAGAGUCAGAGAGGGGCUUCUGAAGAUCACACUGGACGUCCUGAGGAAGAUGAAGCAGACAGACCUUGCUAACACACUACACACUAGUAAGAGUCAUGUGACUAUUACAUCACUUAAGGUUCAGAGGAAACAAACAGUGGGCAUUAUUCAUCAUGAAACACAAUCAGAACAAAUUUCUAAAUUAUGACAUUUGUUGCGUUCAAUUCAAUGCAGCAAUUUAUGUACUAAAGGAAACAUAUUACAUGUUAAAUAAUAUUCAACAACAUUUAAUCAUGAAGCCUUUUUUGUUCAUCUCAUGUUAAUGUUCAGGGAGUUAUCUUCCUUUAUUUAUUUGAGUUGUCUCAUGGAAUUUAUGAUUUUACAUGGUGAUCUGUAAUUUGUAUGUGUAUAAAUACUGAGUCCAUAAAUACUUGCCCCUUUAUGUCUGAAAAAACACAACUCCAGACUAAAUGAUCAAUUUAAGAGAAUUAAUGUAGGAAUCUCACAUCAUGGAAGCUCAACACUUGUGAAUGAGAUCUUCACAGAUCUGUACAUCACAGAGGAAGGGAGUGGAGAGGUCAAUAUUCAACAUGAGGUGAGACAGAUUGAGACAACAUCCAGUAGACCAGAGACACAGGAAACACCAAUCAAAUGUAAAGACAUCUUUAAAGCCUUACCUGGACAAGACAAACCCAUCAGAACUGUGCUGACUAAAGGAGUUGCUGGCAUUGGAAAAACAGUCUCUGUGCAAUAGUUCAUUCUGGAAUGGGCUCAAGGAAAUCAAGGGGAAUCUGCUUCCUUCUGCUCUGCUCUGGGUAACCUCUCGACCAGCAGCAGCCAAUCAGAUUCCUCCUGAGUGUGUUGACCAGACCACAGAUGUACAAGGGUUCAAUGACCCUCAGAAGAACGAGUAUUUCAGGAAGAGAAUAAAUGAUGAGAGUCUGGCCAAUAGAAUCAUUACACACAUGAAAUCAUCAAGAAGCCUGUACAUCAUGUGUCACAUACCAGUCUUCUGUUGGAUUUCAGCCACUGUCCUUAAGAGACUGUUGAAUGAAGCAGAGCAUGCAGAGAUCCCCAAGACUGCUCACACACUUACUGAUCUUUCAGACCAAACUGAAGACACAUAAGUAUGAUGGGAAAUGUGAGGUGGACCUUCAGCAGGCUAGAAAGAGUAUUCUAUCACUGGGAAAGCUGGAAAAAGGGAACCUGAUCUUCUAUGAGGAGGACCUGAGAGAGUGUGGCCAUUACGAGGACAUUUUUUAAGUUACAAACAGGCUGUGCAGCUGCAAUAUUGGAGAGAAAGGUUGUGCUGCUCUGGCUUCAGUUCUGAGAUCAAACCCCUCACACCUGAAAGAACUCGAUCUGAAUUAUAAUAAUCCAGGACAUUCAGGAGUGAAGAAACUACAUAUCUAAAUUAGCCUGUAAUAAUCAUCUACAACAACUUCCUUUAGUCAGUAACAAGAGCUGUUUACUGUCUCUACUGAACGAACAUCAGCACUGUCCCGUCUGUCAGAGUCGCAAACAUUUAUAGAAAUGUCUGCAUCGAUGCACAAGCAGAAAAGUGAAAUAGAGUUGCAUUGUAUGAUUUUGUGCUGUGCUCUCUUUUACUGUGACAGUCAUAUGAUGUUAGAGGACACACAUAUAUUAAUCUACAGUCGAUCUUCAUUAUAUAUUAUAUCUUAUAUAAUAUAUUUAUAUAUCUUAUAUAUUAAUAUUAUAGAUUAAUAUAUUAUGAUAUAUUAAUCUUCAGUCUAAUCUACAGUCAUGUACAUUCAGUCAUAUUUAAUUCAAUAACUGUACAUACCCCUACAUUCUACCUUGCACAUAAUGUAUAUUACCACUUGCACAUGUACAUACGCCCUUCUGUGUUAUAUGUCCUAUUUUAUUUAUUUAUUUUUUUGUAUUUAUUUAUUUAUUUAUUUUUUGUAUGUCUGUUUAUACUCUUACCUUGUUUUAUAUUCUGUGUUUCACUGUAAUGUUCUGUGUGCACUUGCUUGUUUCACCUAUCACCAAAAAAAAAAUCCUUGUGUAUGUGAGCACACUUGGCAAUAAAGCUCAUUCUGAUUCUGAUCUUUUAACAAAGAACAAUCACUGAUGUAAAUUACUAUGCAUU